RNAcentral lists this ribosomal RNA (789 nucleotides) under uncultured bacterium. RNAcentral's name for it is "bacterial SSU rRNA". It matches the Rfam family "Bacterial small subunit ribosomal RNA", at positions 63 to 858 of the family's 1533-position model. The record is from RNAcentral.
CGAGGGGUAUAGGUUUUCGGACCUAGAGACCGGCGCACGGGUGCGUAACGCGUAUGCAAUCUACCUUUUACAGAGGGAUAGCCCAGAGAAAUUUGGAUUAAUACCUCAUAGUAUUAUGGAAUGGCAUCAUUUAAUAAUUAAAGUCACAACGGUAAAAGAUGAGCAUGCGUCCCAUUAGCUUGUUGGUAAGGUAACGGCUUACCAAGGCAACGAUGGGUAGGGGUCCUGAGAGGGAGAUCCCCCACACUGGUACUGAGACACGGACCAGACUCCUACGGGAGGCAGCAGUGAGGAAUAUUGGUCAAUGGGCGCAAGCCUGAACCAGCCAUGCCGCGUGCAGGAUGAAGCAUCUAUGGUGUGUAAACUGCUUUUGUACGAGAAGAAACACUCCUACGUGUAGGAGCUUGACGGUAUCGUAAGAAUAAGGACCGGCUAACUCCGUGCCAGCAGCCGCGGUAAUACGGAGGGUCCAAGCGUUAUCCGGAAUCAUUGGGUUUAAAGGGUCCGUAGGCGGUUUUGUAAGUCAGUGGUGAAAGCCCAUCGCUCAACGGUGGAACGGCCAUUGAUACUGCAAGACUUGAAUUAUUGGGAAGUAACUAGAAUAUGUAGUGUAGCGGUGAAAUGCUUAGAGAUUACAUGGAAUACCAAUUGCGAAGGCAGGUUACUACCAAUAUAUUGACGCUGAUGGACGAAAGCGUGGGGAGCGAACAGGAUUAGAUACCCUGGUAGUCCACGCCGUAAACGAUGGAUACUAGCUGUUCGGAGCAAUCUGAGUGGCUAAGCGAAAGU